UCGAGGGGUAACAGGGGAGCUUGCUCCCGCUGACGACCGGCGAACGGGUGAGUAACGCGUACGUAACCUACCUUCAAGAGAGGGAUAGCCCUGGGAAACUGGGAUUAAUACCUCAUGGCAUCAUAAGAUCACCUGAUCUAAUGAUUAAAGCUGAGGCGCUUGAAGAUGGGCGUGCGUUCUAUUAGAUAGUUGGUGAGGUAACGGCUCACCAAGUCAGCGAUAGAUAGGGGGCGUGAGAGCGUGGUCCCCCACACGGGUACUGAGACACGGACCCGACUCCUACGGGAGGCAGCAGUAAGGAAUAUUGGACAAUGGGCGAAAGCCUGAUCCAGCCAUUCCGCGUGUAGGAUGACGGCCCUCUGGGUUGUAAACUACUUUUAUUUGGGAAGAAACCCUGGGAUUUAUCCCGGGCUGACGGUACCAAAAGAAUAAGCACCGGCUAAUUCCGUGCCAGCAGCCGCGGUAAUACGGAAGGUGCAAGCGUUAUCCGGAAUCACUGGGUUUAAAGGGUGCGUAGGCGGUUGCGUAAGUCAGAAGUGAAAGCUCACAGCUUAACUGUGGAAUUGCUUUUGAUACUGCGCGACUAGAAUUAGGUUGAGGUUGGCGGAAUGUGACAUGUAGCGGUGAAAUGCAUAGAUAUGUCAUAGAACACCAAUUGCGAAGGCAGCUGACUGGACCUAUAUUGACGCUGAGGCACGAAAGCGUGGGGAGCGAACAGGAUUAGAU
RNAcentral lists this ribosomal RNA (726 nucleotides) under uncultured bacterium. RNAcentral's name for it is "bacterial SSU rRNA". It matches the Rfam family "Bacterial small subunit ribosomal RNA", at positions 62 to 783 of the family's 1533-position model. The record is from RNAcentral.